UUACGGCCAUAUCACGUUGAAACACCAGUUCCUGCACGAUCACCGAAGUUAAGCAACGUCGGGCCUGGUCAGUAUUUAGAUGGGAGACUGCUUGAGAAUACCAGGUAUU
Molecule: non-coding RNA, 109 nt
Organism: Acanthosepion pharaonis
Lineage: Eukaryota; Metazoa; Mollusca; Cephalopoda; Sepiida; Sepiidae
Source: the annotation of a GenBank genome assembly